CUUAUCGAGGAAGCGCCAGACCUCUUGCUAAGAGGUGACGAGGGGAAGGCUUAUCGAAAUCUUCGGCGGGUGGCCUUCCGGCCCGCAGUGGUCGUUAGGAAGGGGACAAAUCUUGCGGGUGACCGCUUGGACAAAUCCCCGACCGUGCUGCUCC
This 154-nucleotide non-coding RNA is filed under the name Thermobaculum terrenum. Its description in RNAcentral is "GlcN6P sequence". It matches the Rfam family "glmS glucosamine-6-phosphate activated ribozyme aptamer". From Rfam's summary of the family: This entry contains a glucosamine-6-phosphate activated ribozyme that is found in the mRNA for GlmS. Lineage: Bacteria; Bacillati; Chloroflexota; Chloroflexia; Thermobaculales (SeqCode); Thermobaculaceae (SeqCode). The record is from RNAcentral. RNAcentral also lists the same sequence under 1 other name.